Molecule: ribosomal RNA, 370 nt
Filed under: uncultured organism
Description: partial 16S ribosomal RNA
Rfam family: Bacterial small subunit ribosomal RNA
Source: RNAcentral
GAAGGUGGCAAGCGUUGUUCGGAUUCACUGGGCGUACAGGGAGCGUAGGCGGUUGGGUAAGCCCUCCGUGAAAUCUCCGGGCCUAACCCGGAAAGUGCAGAGGGGACUGCUCGGCUUGAGGACGGGAGAGGAGCGCGGAAUUCCCGGUGUAGCGGUGAAAUGCGUAGAGAUCGGGAGGAAGGCCGGUGGCGAAGGCGGCGCUCUGGAACGUUUUCUGACGCUGAGGCUCGAAAGCGUGGGGAGCAAACAGGAUUAGAUACCCUGGUAGUCCACGCCUUAAACUAUGGAUACUAAGUGUCGGCGGGUUACCGCCCGGUGCCCGCAGCUAACGCAGUAAGUAUCCCGCCUGGGAAGUACGGCCGCAAGGUUG